UGUGUGCAAAAUUUGGAAUACACUUAUAUCAGAACCACAUUUUGCUAAAUUGCAAUUUGAGCGAGCACCAGUUAGUUUCGUGAUUCGAAAUUUAGACAAUAUAGGAGUGUCAAGAAACCUAUACCUUCUUGAGUGUGAAGCUGAAAAGUUUGAGAUUGGAAGCAAAAAUCAUGUGAAGCUUGACCCUAUAUUCGAGCUUCCUCUUUGUAAAGACAUAUCAUCUAGGGACAAAAAUGACGCCAAAUUUUAUAAGGUGAUAAAAAAAAAAAAAUCCAAGAUACGUUAUUUUACUCUCACCUCAAGUAGGGACAAGUUUGGCAUUGUGAAUUCUUGCAAUGGCUUGCUUUGUUUAUCUGAAACAUCUAUCGGAAGCCCUUUAGUGAUUUGCAACCCAGUAACGAGGGAAUUUACAAUACUUCCUGAACUUACUACGACUUCUGACUGGUUUAACAGUGCUCGGGUACAAGCUGGUUUUGGUUUCCAACCCAAAACUAAUGAAUAUAAGGUGAUCAUAAUGUGGAACAAAUAUGUUAGACGAGACAAUCGUUUGGUGUUUGAGCGUGUAGUGCUCGAGAUACACACGCUCGGAACAUCAUCAUGGAGAAAUGUUGAAGUGGAUCCUCAAAUUUCUUUUUUGAAGCUUUUGAAUCCAACAUGUGUGAAUGGCGCACUUCAUUGGAUUAUAUUUGAAGCUUGGCAACAAAAGUCAAUAUUGUGUUUCAAUUUUGAAAGUGAGAGGUUGCAGUCGUUUCCUUCUCCUCCACAUGUGUUUGGAAAUCAUGAUAAUGGAUUUCCCCAUAGCAUGCCUAUUAGAUUGGGAGAAUUGAAGGGAUUUCUUUACAUUUGUCAUAGAUCGUCUCUCGAGAAUGUUACAAUGUGGGUUAUGAAUGAAUAUGGCAUUGGAGAAUCAUGGACUAUUGUUUACAACAUUGAUACUUCGCUCUUGUACAUUCCGGGCACUUGUGUGGGCUAUCCUUAUCCGUGGCGUUGUAGUUUUUAUUGGCUGUCUAAACACCACGAACCUGAGAAACAUGGGUUCAAAGUUUUUCGAAUUCAAGGGACAACAGAAGUUGAAGUAAUUGAAUAUAUUCCAAGUCUAAUAUCAUUGAACGAUGUCGUGAAAGGAGACAAUGUUGAAGCGUUGAACACCCACUCAUGGUACGAAUGUAAUAUUUUAUUUUGAUUGAGUAAAUGAAUAUGAUUUUCUUUUAGAAAUUACAAUUUGACUCAUAAGACAAAGAUUCAAUGGGACAUAUGUGAAUUUCUUACGUUGUUGUCUAUGUUUUGAUUUCCACUUUUGUGAACAACCAUGCUCUAUUUUUGUGUUGUUUUAAUUUGUUAUAAUUUUAGUCCGUUUUCGUUGCCUUUAAUUACAUAUUAGCUUUGACAAUUGUAAAAAUACAUGUUGACUCAAUUAUUUGUUGGAAAAUGUUGUCAACAAUCGCUCGUUUCAACACAUUAUUACUAACACCAAUUCUCUUAUUCUGUUAAAUGCACAUGGGUCCAACCACUAUAUGCGAGACUUGUUUUCAAAGUGGUAGGUCCUAUAUGUAUUUCACCAAUAAGAGAGUGUAAGUUAGAAAGAGUGUUAAAAUGAGUGUUGUUGACAUUACUCCUAUUUAUUAAUAAUUACAUCUUAUAAAUUUCUCUUAGAAAUGUAACUUGGUCUAACACAACUCUACAAAACCGGCUUAAGAUGUUAGAAUUGUUUUCACAUAUAAACACUUGUUGAGGCCAUCUUUUAUCCGAUGUAGAACUCUUUAGCAAAUUCCUUUAUACUUUUUGGGUUGAUGGACGAGUAGGAAAUGGAUAGUUCUUGUAAUGUUGGUUUUUGGAUCUUCCUUGUUUGUUUAGUUGUGGAUAGUUUCUCAAGACUAUUUUAUCCCCUACAAAUUGUAGUUAUAGCAAAUUUUACUUAACCAUUGUUCCUUAAUUGUUUUAAUUUUUUGUAGGUGGGAAAACGAUAUUACAUGUGGAGAAAAUGAAGUUCUUUCCAUAUCUCAACAUAUUGUUUGAGACUUGGAAAGUACACGUUCUUCACCUGCACUUCUGGUGAAGAAUUUGGUGAAGAGCCUGCUUCCUAAUAAGAGUACGUUUGUUUUCGCAUUGGAAGCCUUUGAUGAAUAAUAUAUGAAUUUCUAUACAACAGGGAGGGUUAAAAGAGAAACUCUUCUAUAGACACAACCACAAAUGAUAAAUAUUUAUUUAAACACGCCCUCAUCAAAUAUGCAAAAGUUAAAAGAGAAUAAAACUAAAUGAUGUUGAUUGAUGUGAUCUAUUUAUUUUUGUUUUAAAUUUUUCCAUUUGAUGUGAGCGCGUCCAAAUAUUUUUCAUUUGUGCUUGUGUUCAUAGAAGAGUUUCCCAGUGGUAAGAGAUAAAAUUCACUGUUCUAUCUUACCAUUCUUUUAAUUAUUACAAUUGUGUUUAACUAGAAAAUGUUGAUUAACUAUUUAGGUUAAAUAAGUAAAUGGUCCCCCUAAAUAUAUCAACAUUUGAUUUUAGUCCUCGAAAAUUUUCCAUCCAUGAAAUUAGUCCAUACUUUUUUGUCAACUCAUGUGUAACCUUCAUGUUUUUUAAUGAAAUUUUCUAGAAAUGGAUUUUUCAAAAAAAAAAAAAAGUUUUUGGCAAAACAUAAAUUUAAUAUGAAUUUUUAUGUUUUUGGUGCUAAAACAUUUAUAACACUCAUGUUUUGUUAAAAAAAUCUAAUUUUUUUUGGAAAAUAUUAUCAUACUUUUUCACACAUUUCUGGAAAAUUUCAUGAAGGUUAAACAUGAAUUGACUAAAAAGUAGGUGAAAAUUUUUGGAGGACCAAAAGCAUAGGAAAUAUUUUAAAAGAACUAAAAUCAAAUGUUGGUUUAUAUAGGAGACCAUUUACUUAUUUAACCCUAACUAUUUUGAUGCAUAGUUUGAAGUUAAUUGUUGGCUCCGUAGAUAAUUACAAAGUUUGGAUGCAAAUAAAUUAAUAAUUCUUGUGUGACUAUUUUCUUCGAGAAAAUAAGUAAUUCUACUCUAAAACAAAACACAUAAUUUGAUUUCCUAUUUUUGUACAUUUUGGAAGGAAGCAAUAAAAAUUAUAUUGGAUACAAUUAAGUUGGUCAAUAUGCUGAAGGCUGGAUAUUGUUACUCAAAAUUUUGUUUAAAUUGACAGGAAAAUUUGGAAAUACAGAAGGCUGGGUAUGUUAUUAAAACGAAGUCAAUCAAUAUGCUGAAGAGAAUUUUUUGAGCUGGAGGAAACAUCCGCAAAGUUUCGGAGCCGUGGAGCUGCAUCAAAGAAUUUUUUUUGUAUGCUUUUGUUAAGUAAUUUUAAACCAAAUAAGGACUGAAUUCUUUGAUGGAUUGGUUACAUGAUGUUGUAUGCUUUUAAAGUUUGUUUUGAACUGCGAUGUAUUGCUGGUUCCUAAUAUGUUUUGUUUGAGUUAAUGUUGAACUCAGUAUACUUCUGUUUUGAACUGUGAUGAAUUGCUGGUUUCUAAUAUGCUUUGUUUGAGUCAACAGAGUUACACAUUUCAAAAUUUCAUAAUCAAUAAGAAUAAUAGCUCGGACUUUCUUCCCUUAACAUAUUAAUAAGAGAGUGUUGGGACAUUGGUAUGAAGUUGAAAGAAAAUUGAAUGGUUGGGAAGAUUAAACACCAAGUCAUGAGAUUUUAACAUAAUGUUGCGUGAAUUAAAAAUCUUUUUAAUUUUUAAAUACUUGAUAUUGAUAAAAUAAUAGUAAUUAUUAUUAUUUUUUAUUCAUGAUGUCACUUUCCAUAACUUUAAUUUAGUUUAUUUUGGUUGUGAUCAAGAUUGAGAAUUUAACUAAGUUUUCUAUUUUUUCUUCAUUCACUUCCAAUUACUUUGUAUCUUCCAUUUUACUGGUUAGUUUCUUUCACAAGUUUAACUAAAUUUGAUUACAAAAUUUCUAUAUAAAUAAAUGACUAUAAUGAGUCAUAAAUCACAUCAAAAUUGUUAAAAAUAAAUAAAUAAAUAAAUCACAUCAAAACAUUAUAUUGAGUUGUCGAAAACUUUUUCUCUCUUCUCCCUCCAACUUGUGUUAACAAGUUAUUCCCUUAUGAAUUAACAAUGCUCUUAAGACCAUGGUCUAUUUUUGGUAUAAUGUUCUUCCGAAAUUAAGAAUGAUUUUAAGAACAUAGUUCAUUCGAUAAUAUAUGUCCUUUCAAAAUAAAGAGUAUUCUUAAAUUCAUAGUCUUUUUCAAGAAUAAUGCCCUUUUGGAAUUCACAAUGAUUUAAGAAUAAUGCCCCUCUAGGGUUAUUGUAUCCUUCUGCAGAAUGUGGAGCUUGGGGAGGAGUAUUUGAACAUAGGUCAUCAUUAUGCGCUACUAGCCCACAUCUAAAACAGAACAUUGGUAGAUUUUCAUAUCUGAAAUCUACCUAGUUAAUUCCAUCAACAUCAUUACCAAUAUACAUUUCAGCCUUUAUAGGGGGAGUUAAUGUCAAAAAGAAUCUUAGCUUUCACUAUCCUAGCACUAUCAUGGUAAUCAUACAAUCCAACAUCCAAAACCUGACCAAUUUGAGACCCAAUUUGGUUACCCAUACAAAUAGAUCUACAGUGAAGUGGGAGGCCCCACAUCUGGACCCAAAGAGGAAUUUUAGAGAAAUCUAGUUCACUAGGAUUAACCUUUCUAUCCCAAGAAUGAAGAACUAACCAGCAGUUGCGUAUUAUCCAUGGAUUUCCUUUUAGAAUUCUUGUCAGAUCUUGUUCUUUAUCCAUAGAUAUCUGAUACAAUUUUCCUUCUAUUUCUGUAAUCUUCAAUCCUGCAGGUUUGGACCAAAUUCCAGCCAUAGAGUUGUGUAAAGAAGGUGUAGGAAUGGAUUUGUCAGAGAGAAUCUUUUCAAUCAAGCUGUUCUUGCAAGUGUUAAUACUUUCUUGGAGAUCAUCUUCUUGAUAAUAGCAAAACGGUUCAGAAUCUGGUGACUCCCCAGGGGGUGAUUCUUGAUGAGAAGGUUGUUGAAAAGAAUCAGUCUGGUCUGGUGCAUACUAGUGUCCACUGGUUGAAUCUUGACCAUCAUGAGCGCCAUGGAUUUGUUGUUGAUAAGAUUGUUGGUUUGUGGAGAAGAGGUUAGGAUUGUUUGUUAUGAUAGGGGUUACGUUUGCAACCUUUUGAAUUUUUGUAGGACGGUGGGAAUCUGGGGAAAGAAUAGGGUGGAGUUGCUGAUGUUGGGAGUCAGAGACGGCUCCAGAAGUGGAAGGGAGAGACAUGAUGAGAUAAGGCAGAGGGGAAGGGAACCACAAUGAGCAAAAGAAAGGAAAGAAGCAAGAUUGGUAACGAUGGUGAGAUGAGAAAAACACGAUUGGUAAUGAUGAUGGGAUGAGCCUAAAGAAGAGGCAAAGGAAAAGAAGACAAAAACCAAGUGAUGAAACUUCCAAGAACAGAGGGAAAAAAAUUCAAUUAAUAACAAAGGGGAAACAUCACAAGAUGUAAAACUACGAAUCAACUAUCAUCAAAAAGGAGAUGAAGGAAAACUGAAAGCCGUUGGUAAAAAUAUUUAGUGGCAUGUAAGUGUUGAUGUUCGAACCUCAAAUUUUUUACUUAUUCACAUUAACGUGUGAAUUUCUUUCUAGUCAAUAUGUUAUUUGAAGAAAUAAAAAAAAAAAUCUAAUCUUCCAUAAAAAAAAAUCUAAUCUUAUAUAAAUAUUGAUACCCACUUUAGUAAUUUUGCAUUCAAAAUCAAUUUUGAUCCAAAUUAUUCAAACAACAUAAAUUUAUUUAUAAGAAUCACUUUUACAUAUUAUAUCCAAACAUAAAUCAAUUUACAUGCAAGUCAUUUUUAACUCAAAUCAAUUAUAUCAAAAUCAAUUCUAUUAACCUCAAUUAUCUCGACGUAGAACCAAACACACACUGAGUAGCCCACAUGGGAAAAAAAGAAGAUGCGACUACUUUUACAAAUGUUAUUAUAAGCAGCGUUCUUUUGUCAAACUUUCUGUUUUGACAUCAUAUACUUGUUAAAAAUUGAAAAACUUCUUGCAUAAGUAAACUACUUUCAACUGCUGGAUCUUGGAUCUUGUAAUUCGUUAUUACUCUUCCACUAGUUGACAAUAUGUGCUUGAGCAAUAGACACAAGGAAAUUGUUAUAUGUACAUCAUCGUCCUAAAGCUUAUAACAAUAUCCCAUUCAGGAUUCAACUAUGAAUGGAAAUGUAUUUCACUUGAGAGAUUGCAGGGAAAAUGUUUCGAAUGAGUAUAGAUUCCAUCAUUUUUAAAAUGCUUCGCAGUGAUUUUUCUACUUUGCUUUUUUAGAAAAUCAUGGCAACAGUUAAAAUUCUUACUGUAAGGAUCAAGUUCAAGACCCUUUUUUUGCAUUAAUAUAUAUAUUAUAAAAACAACCAGAAUUUGUUGGGGUCAUGCUAAAAAGGAAAUUAAAAACUAACUUUUAAUUUUUAUAUUGAAAAGAUACAUUUUUAAGUUUUUGAAAUAUUAAAUACACAAUUUUCAAUAUUAUAUUUUUAUAUAUUUUUUUGGUUUAUUAUAUUUGAUUUCUUAACUUAUGUGUAAGUGUACAAAUCAGCAUUUUCCUAUAACAUUUUGUAUAAGUGAAUUAUCACUUAAUAACACAUUUUCAUGUUAUCAACUUGAAAGUUACAUAAAUAUCUCCCUUAUCAUGUCAUCAGAAUUCAGUCUCAACAUAAAUAAAAAAAAAAAAAAAAAAUCUGGAAAACUAAAAUCGCGGUUAGAAACAUGAGGGCUAAAUUUGUGAAUGAAACAAUAUAGAGGGACUAAAAUGCAUUUAACACACACAACAAAUUUACAUAUCAAUGUCAUACUCUAACAACUUCAUGUAAAUCAAAACUUGAAAUAGAUAGAGGUGUCCCAAUUAAUAAGGAAUGAAGAUGUAGAAUGAAUUAAGCCGAUAGGCAAGUAAAAAGAUGAUCAUCGACAAGUGAGUAUUGAUGAUGAGUGAAGGACAUGGUUUUAACGUUGUCCUUAAUCCUCUCAUUGCUAUUAUUCCAAUGUGAAUGUGUUUGAGAGCCUUUUAUGGAAGCCACCUUAGCUGCAAGUUUUUUCUCAAGUCUUCUCUUUCUAACAUAAUCUUCUGGAAUGAACACAUCCAUCAUAUAACUUUUUCUUCUAAGUUCCAAGAUGAGGUGAAACCUAAUGUAAGUGAAAAUUGGUAAAUGUGUGUAGAGCAUGUGGUGUGAUGAGUGAUGACAAUGUACGAGGAUAUAAAUAAAGGGGACAAGAUAGUGAAAUACUAGGGGCGUUUGUACCAUGUUUUGAGUUAAACUGGGACCUAAAUUUUGGUAUUUCAGUUUGGUAGUUUUGCUCAUAAAAUAAUGGGCCCCUUAGAGUUCCUUUUCGUGUCCAAAUCAAAACUGUUCGAACUUGAACUGUACUUGCCGACUCAAGAAUUAACUUAUCGGUUAUGCUAAUAGUUUUGUUGUGAACAUAGUAUUUAAUUAAUAAAAAAAAUAGUGUAAAGCAUUGUACCCAAAAAAAAUAUAUAUAUAUAUAGUGUAAGGCCCUAAUUUAGUCUUUUAAGUAACAUUAAAACUUUGUAAAAAAAAAAGUAACAUUAAAACAUUCCUAAAAAAAAUAAAAAGUAACCCUAAAACAUCUACAAUAAAGCUACUCCAACUUCUGAAUACUUGGACGGAGAGAAUUGAUAUUUGAACAACCAUUUUUAUAUAACUUUUGUACAAUUUUCUCUCUAUACUCACAUUAUUUUCUUAUUCUCUUUCUUCCUUUUUCUCUCUCCAUUAUUUUUGACCAAUGAAAAGAGAUAACAACAAGGUUGUCCCAAAAAUUGUACUAAAUAAUUGUUUAAAUAUCAUUAUUCUUGGACGGAACUUGCAAAUAUAUACAACUCAUUUAUAUAUUUAAAAAUUAAUAUAAUAAGUAUUCAAUUCUUUUUCCUUAAAAAAAGGUAUUCAAUUCUUUUAAUGGGGAGCACAGCAAAAAAAGAGUUAUUAAAUAGUUUUUAUUAAUAAUUUUAUACUACCAUUAUAUUAUGGAAAUGUUAACAAGUGUCACCGAGACACACUUUAAGACAUUUAAAUAGUACUCACUCCGUUCCAGAAUAGAUGAUCUAGUUGACUCCGUCACAUGUACCAAUAUAUACGCUUUAUCUUUGAUAUCUUCAAUUCUCUACUAAAAAAAAUUAUGAAAACUUAAUAUUUUAAAAAUAUUCAUCGAGACGAAUCCAACAACAUCUUAUAUGAUAUUAUUUAUCUUUGUGAAUUAGUAGAAAAAUAUGGUGAAAGUAUGUUAAGUCAAUAAUGUAUAUUAUCAAAUAUGUCAUCUAUUGAGGGACAGAUGGAGUAAUGUUUUAUGAGAAUUAUUGUAUUUAAUGCAUUGAAAAUUGAAACAAUUGACUUUUUUUAAUGGACAAUUUCUUAAAAUAGAAUGCUUAAAGAGUGCUCAGAGGCACUCGUUAAUAAGACCCUUAUAUUAUUAUGUUCUGCCAUGAGAGUAACGUAUAAAAUAUCAACCCUAGGGUACGAUCAUCCAUACUAAUCUUAUAUCUCAUUAUGCAAAAAAAGAAACAUUAUUACAUCUACUUUUUUAAGUGUUUGGUUUCACUUUUAGAUGCUUUAGAAGUGCUUUUCAAGUUCAAAAACAAUUAUAGUAUUAUAAAAUUAUGUUUGACAUUUUGUUUAGAAAUCAAUUUUAGGUACCAUAAGCAAAUUUACAUGAAGCUACUAUUUAUAGUUUUUUAUUUUUCUUUCUAGAAUUAAUUUUAAAACACAUUUAUAAUUCAACUUGCUUUUACAUAAAAAUUUAUGAAAACACAAAUCAAUUAACUCAAAAUCAAUUAUUGUCAAAGCAUAACCCAACAAACACUAAAUUUUAUACUUUUUUGACUUAAUUACACUUUUGGUCCUUGUGUUUUGGCCUACUCACGAAAUUGAUCAUGCCCUUUUAAAACAUAACAAAACGGUCCUUCAAUUAUCAUUUUUGUUGCAUUUUUCGUCCUACCUCCUAUUUUCAAACUCCAUAAACGCAGAGAAAUGACAGUUUUAGGCGGUUUUAGAACUACCCCUAUGCUCAACCAUGAAAUCAACAAGGAAUAAAACAUGUGGGCACAAGGAAUCUAUUAUAUUCAGCACACUAACAAAAAAAAACCCUAAUUUGAAACAUAUCUUAGAAAUUAGGGUUUUCUUGGUUAGUGUGUUGAAUAAAGUGGAUUCUUUGUACCCACAUGCUUUAUUCCUUGUUUAUUUCAUGGUUGAGCAUAGGGGGUAGGUCUAAAACUGUCAUUUCUCUACGUUUUUGGAGAAUAAAAUGGGGGGUAGGACGAAAAAUGAAACAAAAAUGAUAAUUGAAGGACCGUUUUGUUCUGUUUUAAAAGGGCAGGACCAGUUUCGUGAGUAGGCCAAAACACGAGGACCAAAAGUGUAAUUAAGCCUAUUUUUUUUAGGAAACUAAAUUUCAUACUUAAUCUUUAAAUAUAAAAACACACACAAAAUUACAUAUGAGUAAAAGACAAGCAUGCAAUAAACUCCAAUUUUUUUGGAUUUCAGAACCAAAUAAGACACGGAAAAUUAUUAUCAAUAACAAUAAAGAUACUAAUGAUUAUUUUGCAACAAUUUUAUAUGAAAUUUGUACAUGUCUUUUGAGUCUCCAAAGUCAAUCUUUUACUAUUAAGUUAACCCUUAGAGGGAAAAAAAAAAAAGACUACUUAAGAUUAUAUUUGGAAUUACUUUACUGUUUUCAUAUACUCAAUUUAGAGAUCAAGUGUAUGAAUAAUUGAUACUUGAGAGACUUGCUUUUCUAUGAAGAUAUACUUGAGAUACUAAAUUAAAGGUUUCACUAUGAAAAUAAUAAUAACGAGUUUUUUAAAAAUAACUUUACAUUUAAAUUAUCAACAAAUAUCUAACUUUGUUUUAACAUGAGAAUAGUUUUUUUUUUUAAGCAACAUGAGAAUAGUUUAACAUGACUAAAUAACCAACAUAGAAUAGUGACUAAUUGGUUUUAACAUGUGAUUAAUUUGAAAAAAAAUAAUAAUGAGUUUUUUAAAAAUAGCUUUACAUUUAAAUGAUCAACAAAUAUCUAACUUUGUUUUUUCCUUCAAAAAAAAAUCUAACUUUGUUUUAACAAUGAUAAUAGUUUAACAUGACUAAUUAACCAACAUAGAAUAGUGACUAAUUGGUUUUAACAUGUGAUUAAUUAAUUAGUCACUAUUUCACCCUACAAGUCAAAGAGCCAAGAUUCUUUUGUUUUUUUUUUUUGAGAGAAAGAGCCAAGAUUCUUAGUCGGUAAACAAGAUAAUAUAAUCAAAUCUACCUAUACUAUCAUUGAUUGAUAAAAGAACACGUGUGAUCCCAAUCAAUGGAUGGAUCUAAAAAUUUCAAAAGUUUAGUAUGUGUGAGACUCAAGUGUCAAAUAAUAUGACAGAAAAGCAAUUGGAUUAACUAAAACUGGAUUAAACAUUUUGAAACUCUAUAAAGAGGUUCAAUUUAGUCACGAUUGAAGUGUGAUACGAUUGUGAGAAAACCCUAAUAUUAGCUUGAGUAAAGAAUUUUAGCCAUUGAAACACAAUAAUAAUAACGCCAAAAUGAAAGUGAAGCAUCAUGGUUGCUUACUUAUUUGGGUAAGUGAGGGCAUUACAAACGCGGUAUCAUCAAAAUUAAGAAACGAUGCAUUGUGAUUCAAUUCAAUUCAAUUCAAUGUGCUUGGUAUAUAUCUAUUCAUAUAACCAAUGGAUUGUUGACUGCUGUUUCUUUAUUGUUCCAUUAUAUACAAUUUUCCCAUUUCAAUGUUGUGACUUACGUGCCUGGUGAAUCUUAUGAGUUACUUCUUGUUCGGUAGUUUAAGAAAAUGACAAUAAUCGUUACAUAAGUUGAGAAGUUAAUGUUUGAAUCUCAUCAUCAGUGGCGGAUCUUGAACUUUUUUUCUGGGGGUGCCAAAUAUUUUUAGAAUAUAUAUAUAUAUCAGUUUUAAAAUAUUAGUGAAAUAAUGAAUUAGCCUAGUGGUUUAUUUUCCUGAAACAACUAUAGGGAACGGUGGUUCGAUUCCCAUUAGGACCUCUUUUUUUGAGUAAAGUAUUAAUAAUACAAUUGAAAAUAUAAAAAAAAACAGCUAACGAGGAUCGAACCCACACGCAGCUGGGGGGUUUCGAAACUCACCAAUCCACUGCAAAAACAAUACUCCGUUUGAAUUAUCAUGCAUAAUAUGAUAAUUAUAGUAAAGUUAGGGGAUGCAGUGGCACCUGCCGGUCCCCACCAAGAUCCGCCACUGCUCAUCAUCGUAUUUAAUUUAACAGUUUCGAUAUUUUUAUCAAUUGAAUUAGAAUUUAUACAAAUAAGUUAAUUCCUUUCCUCUGUUUUCUAUUAUUUUAUAUUAUUAUCUCAACCAUAAUUUACUUUUUUUUUUUUAAGAAGCUAAAAUAAAAUUAUAUAGAACCAAACGAUUUUAUUUUCUCUCUACAAAGAGUGCUGGAGAAAAUAAAGAGAAAAAUAUUGUUACAUCAAAUAAAGGUAUAAAACACCAUAAGAAAGCAAAGAGAACCAUUACAUGUAUAAAAGGGGAUUAAACCACCAAAUCGUUCUUGAUUAGAAGGUCUGAUUAAAAUCAUUUUAAAUACAAGUAAGCAUAUCGAAAUGGUAAGUUUGUUCCGCAACGGAAGAAAAAAAUGGUAUUGAUUUUUUUCUUUGGACAAGAAAAUGGUAUUAAUUUUUAUGACCAAAAUAGUAUUAUUUUUUUUUUUUCAGGUAGUCUAUUGGUUAGAAUUUACGGUGAAUAAGUGGGAUGUCCGAAGUUCGAACUCCGGCCCUGCAUAUAAUAAUGCAUUAUUCUAUCAUCUAAGCUAUGCUCACGGCACAUAGUAUUUUUAUUUUACUUGGACUUCCAAAGUGUUCCAAACCAGGAAUACGUUAUGACGCACGAGAAAAUGUAAGCAAGGUGCGUAGCGGACACUUUUCAAUUAUGUGUGCCGUAAAAAUCAUCAUAUUUGUAUAUUUGGAUAAUUUACAAUCCAUCUCUAAAUUUACAUUCUUUCAAAAAAGAUAAAAAAAAAAAACUCUCAUAUUUACAUAAAGUUUUUGGUAAAAGAAAUAAAAUUUACAUAAAGUUGACUAACGCUAAAAUAUCGUCAUGCUAUAUUGAUAGGUUUCACUAUGACUACUAAGGAUAAGCUAAGAGAAUCACUAGGAAUUUGCUGUAAAAUUGUCACUGAAAUAAAUUGCAGAAAGGAAGACAAAUUAUAGAAAAUAAUUCUCAAUUCAUUAUUUAGGGUUGUGGCCAAUAGCCUACAAUAUAUAGUAGUGACACACAUAAAAGAGUUACUUGUAGGGGCCUACUGUUACGGCCCAUACUACUUAGUUAUAAAACCCUUAAGCCACAAAGGCUUCUUGGUCUUCCUUUUGCUAUCUGAACCCACGUGCCUAUCAUAUAUUAUCAUCAUAAAAUAUUAAGCGUGUGUUUGGUUCCACAGUGACAAAAAUUGAUUUUAGUAGAAUUAAUUUUGUAGAAUUGAUUUUAGUUAAAAGUGAGUUGAAUGUAAAGUGAUUUAAGUUUGGAUGUUUUAAGAACAAAAGUGAUUUACAUUAAAGAUGGUGUUUGGAUAGCUUGAAUCAAAAUUGCUUUUAGGUGUGUAAAUUACCAAAAUGGGUUUUAUUAUGUGUGUGUGUAUAUAUAUAUAUAUAUAUAUAUAUAUAUUUAUAUUUACAUAUUUCUCCUUUACUUAUUUUUGAUAAAAUUGACAUUAAAAGUACUAAAUUUGCACAAUUAUUAAAAACGAAGUAUUCAAAUAAAACAAGGGAAUACAUGUGUAUUUUUAUUACAUACUCAUGUUUAUUUUUUUAUUUUUUUUUACGUAUGUUUUUUAUAAUUUUCUGCUUUUGAUUUUUUUUAUUUUUAUAUAUUUAUAGUUAUUUUGCUUUAAUUUAUUAAAUGAAAUGGGCGAUCCACAUGACUCCUUAAAUAAGGAAAAACGACGAGGGACAACACCUCAAGAUGACAAGCCACAGUUAUUUUUUACUUAUGGUUUUAUUAAAGAGGGCAAAAUUGAGAAAUUGUCAAUGAUUGUUUGAGAAUCGAUUGAAGGAACAGUAAAAGUUAGAAAAUGCUGCUUCACCUAAAAUCAAUUCCAAGAUUAAGAAUCAAUUCCCAAGCUGAGAUCAAAACACCCUCAAUUUCAUUCCCAAGCCAGUUAUCACAAUUGCAACAAGUGUGAUCUAAUAUAGACAAAGCUUUUUAUUUUUAGAGAAAAACAAUCAUAUAAAAGUUAUGAGAACGCGGGACAAUAAUACCAUAUAAGUGUAGUCAUUCUAUAUAAAUAUGUAAGUAUCUAUUAACAGUGCAAUAUUGUCCCUGAAGCUCGAUCAUUAUUGAAUUAGAUCGACCAAGAUUGCAAGUAAAAUUGUGCAUAAAACAACCUCUCUACAAGCAGAGAUGCCAUAUGGAAGACCAAUAAAUGUUUGAAAAUUAAAAUUCAAAACUCGGGACUUCAAGGUUACUUGAAAGGAAUUAACAGCUAAUGAAAACAAGAGGGAAACUUAUAGAAAUAGAAAUAAAUAACAAUAUCAAUAUCAUUAGACAUAGUUGUUUUGACAGAUGUCAUAAAACAUAGGUAGUAACUAACUACAGAAAAAUAACACAAGACCGUGAAUAUCCAUCUGCACAUAUUUGUCGUGGCCCAAACGUGAAACUUCUCUACUCUCCUACGUUUGCCAAACAAAAUCCACCCUGUCAAGUUACUUAAUUACCACCACUACUUUGUUAUUUCCAAAUUCCAACAAGGAACCAUUCAUUAUAGUACCAUGUUUCCUCUUUUCUUAGUUGCUAUAUAUAUUCAAUUCUAAAUCAUCAUAAUAUUCAUUCACCUACCCUUGUCAUAACUAAGUUUUCAGGUUGCACUGUGUAUAUAUCCACAGAACAAGUCAUGGGAGAAUCAGAAGGUUCCAGCAUCAACAAAACUGAAUCACCACAGCUACAGUCUCUUCUGGACCCUGUUCCUGAAGAGCUUUCCCCUGUUGUGGAAAAGGAUUCAGAAACUCUAAGCACGAUCAGUAUCAGUCAGGAGCCUAAUCAGCAGGCCAUCUCAACACUUGAUGAUCAGAGUAUUUCUCUCACUUUUCUCUUUGUUUUUUUUUUUUUUUUUGUCUUUUUAGAGAUUAGAACGCACAAGUUAUUUUAUGUUUGUUUAUUGUAAUAAAAUUACUUCUUAAAAAAUUUAAUUAUAAAAGACUAAUAAAAAAAUACCUUUGUAUUUGAAGCAGUUUCUAGAUUUUUUUUUUUUUUUUUUUUCGGACUCUCGAUUUUUUAUUUUUUAAAUUGUAACAAACAAAUGAAUUUUUUUUAAAAAGAUGGUUUGUAUUAAUAAAAAAAAAAAUGUAACAAAGGAGCUCGUGACAUAGAACAGAUAAUUCUAUUUUGUCAAAAUUGUUUAGGUCACUGCAUGAGAUUUUGUAUGCUACUUUGAUUCAUUCAACUCAUCGUAUUUUUCAUACAGAGGUUGCAGAUGAUCAUGCUGAUAAUAAGGAAACAGGGGACCAUGAUGAUAAAAAGGAUGCUAAGGACUCAACUGACAGAGGUUAUUUUCUAUAAAAAGUAGUAUAAAGAUAUUGUAUGCUUAUAUAGAUAUAUUGUAACUAUUUUCUUUUUGUUCCAUUAGAUGCUGGGCUUGCAAAAAUUGUAGCAGAGAAAAGAUUGGCUUUAAUUAAAGCAUGGGAAGAAAGUGAAAAGACAAAGGCAGAAAAUAGGCAAGGACCCAUCUUAUAGAUUUAUGACUAUCUUACUCAAAUAAAAUAUAAAGGGUUAAUAGGUCUUUAACCUCCUGUAAUAUAGAUCAUUUUCGGUUUUUCCCCUGUAAAAUAUAUUUUUUUUAUUUACCCCCUGUAAAAUUUUAUUGUUUUGAUUUAACCCCCUAAUAGGCCAAAUAAAAACGAAAAUUUCUUAAAAAAAAAAAACAAAAUUGGUUUUUGUUUGGCCUAUUAGGGGGGUAAAUCAAAACAAUAAAAUUUUAUAAAGGGGUAAAUCAAAAAAAUAUUUUAUAGGAGGGAAAUCGGAAAUGACCUAUAUUACAGGAGGUAAAGACCUAUUAACCCAAAUAUAAAUUAUUCAAGAGCUUGAUGAAAUGGUCACACAGGGCAUACAAGAAGCAAUCUUCUGUUGGAUUAUGGGAGGAAAGCAAGAAAUCAUCUAUAGAGGCACAACUCAAGAAAUUUGAGGUGAUUAUUAUUUCUUUUUGUUGUAAAUUAGGUAUCUUCGCGCACAAUUGUAUAGACAAAUCUCUCGAGUCUUGUGGAACUCAAAUGUGUGACAAAUUCCUCCCAAAAGUUUUACCGUUGUUAAAUGCUCAAGCUCGGCUCGGGAUCAAACCCUAAACCUUGGUUAGAUUAGAAGAGAUGCGAGUCAUUUCAUCUAAGCGCUCUUGGGUCCCGUAAUACUCAUUUAAUUCAUCAAUGUGACUUGCUUUUAUUUUCAAAUAUCAGUUGUUUCCCUCAUUUGUAACUUACAAAAUUGUUUUAAUUAAUAGGAAAAUUUGGAAAGAAAGAAAGUUGAGUAUGUUUCAAAAAUGAAAAAUGAACUAGCUGAAAUCCAUCAAUAUGCUGAAGAGAAAAGAGCAAUAGUUGAGGCUCAAAAAAGGGAAGAAUGUCUUGAACUAGAGGAAACAGCUGCAAAGUUUCGUAGUCGUGGAGUUGCACCAAAGAAAUUGUUUGGAUGCUUUAGUGCUUAAGUUUUUUUUAAGCCAAAUAAGAAGAAUUGAAUUCUUGAUGGAUUGGUUUUACAUGAUGUUCAAUUAUGUAUACUUUUAAAAGUGUGGUUUUGUUCUUAUAUGUAUUGUUUGAGUUAACAAAGAAUUCCACAUUUGAUAAUCAAUAACAUUUACUACUUUCCCUUUAAUUGUAUCAUUAAGGGAACAAUACCACCUGCAACUCAAACAAACAUAGACUAGCAAGACAUUGGCCAUAAAUUGGAUCAAAUUAAUAUAACAAUGAACAAUGCAAAUUAAUUACAAGUAGAUUGCUAAACUUUUUCAGCAUCACAAUUCUCAAUUAAUAGAUCCUAUUAAUUAAUUAACUUUUGUUGUAAGUAAUAGAUGCAUUUGAUGGAUUGAAUGGAUGAUAGAGAAAUAGUUUAUUUCACCACCCUUAUUCUACACCUAAUUGCUACUCUCGUGAGAUUGGAUUGAAGGGAGUAUACAGGGACGAAUUAAAAAAUAUAUAUUAAGGGCGGCUAAAAUUUAGCACAUAAUUCAUCUGUCCUUAAAUAUAAGACCGGCUAAAUUUCUAGAUACAUUUACUAUUCAUUUUUCAAAUAUACCCUAUUAAUAUUAUCAAUUUGUCUUAGAAUAUGAAAAACAACAUUGAAUGCAUUUUGUAUAUAUAAAGUGUAAUUUAACCACAUUUUUUUUUUUACCGAAACAAAGUUAACUAUUAUCAUUAAUCAACCAAUGGCAAUGUUCAAUACAAGAAGGAUAAAAAUCAAAAAUACGGUGACUAACCGCACUUAUUUUAGAGAAAUUUAUUAGUGGUCCUUGGGUUCUUCGGCAGCAGUGUUACUACUACCUCCUCUGUUCUUUUUUUUUUUUUUUUGUAGAGACCUCCGUUCUUUUUUUACCGUUACCUUUUAACAUUUUACAUAAAUUAAGACAAUCAAUAAAUAUUAUUACAUUUAUGGAGGUUCAUUGGCAGUCCAUACCUGAUUACAUUGUUUGGUUCUAUGUAGUAUCUCAUCGCAAAUUAAUAGCUCAAGUUGAGGGAGAACCACCUAGGCAAGAAAAUGUCAAGGUUAUGAUAGACGAGGAGCAUGAGAGUGAAACUUUGGAUACAUUUCAGCUAGUAUAAAGGGUUAGGACCAUGACUUUGUAUGGCACAGCAAAUGGCACCACUUACGAUGAUCUAUAUAGUACUUUGGAGCAUAUUUCUGAAGAAGCAGAGUUGGUCGCUUAGUAUCUAGUCUCGUAUAGGAGAAGGGUAUUCUAACGACUUCAUUUGUAUUGUAUUUUUUCUUGUAUUUUUGUCAUCAUUAAUGUAUAUCGCAAGUUCACAACAAUUACUAUUUUGAAUGUGUACGAAUAUUGACGUGAUGAAUGAAAUACACAAAAAUUUUAUGUCGUUUCAAUGUUGAAUGAAUUUAAUGUGAUCAAUGUUGAUUGUGUUGUCUUUGAAUGUUUUUAAGUGUAUUUGAAUGUGUUAUAGCAAUGCAUUGUUUGGAGUUAAAUUUUGGUUAAGCCAAGUUUAUGUCGGUGUAAUUUUGUAAAAAAAUAAAUAAAUAAAAAGUGAUCGUGGUGUUUUGGCCCAUGACCCUUUUGUUUAUAAAAUAGAUAAAUUAAUAAAGGAUUUGGGGUUGCCCUUUUAAUUGUUGUUCUUCUACGAUCUCACUCACGCACGCACGUUCCCAGCUUUUGCAAUUCUCCAUUCCGACCUUAGCUAGGUACUUUUGUUUUGAUUGAUUUCUUUCUCGUUAAUUAAUUGUCAUGUUUUUUUUACUUGUUAGUUAAUUUUUAUUUUUAAUGUAAACUCCAUUCAUUUAUUUUCCUUUUUGCAAUUUAGUGUGAUCGGCCAUGAAAAGAAAAAAGGGUUCAAUUACCCCACCAAGGGCUACUAUCCAAAGAUGCAGCAAUAAAUCAAAAUGUCAACAACUUUGCCCUUACUUUGAUAAUCUUCCAUCUCACUUAACUACCCACAUUCUUCUUCAACUUCCCAUUAAGUCUCUUCUCAUGUGUAGAUGUGUGUGCAAAACUUGGAAUACACUUAUUUCAGAACCACAUUUUGCUAAAUUGCAAUUUGAGCGAGCACCAGUUAGUUUCGUGAUUCGAAAUUUAGACAAUAUAGGAGUGUCAAGAAACCUAUACCUUCUUGAGUGCGAAGCUGAAAAGUUUGAGAUUGGAAGCAACAAUCAUGUGAAGCUUGACCCUAUAUUCGAGCUUCCUCUUUGUAAUGACAUAUCAUCUAGGGACAAAAAUGACGCCAAAUUAUAUAAGGUGAUAAAAAAUAAAUCCAAGGAACGUUAUAUUACUUGCACCUCAAGUAGGGACAAGUUUGGCAUUGUGAAUUCUUGCAAUGGCUUGCUUUGUUUAUCUGAAACAUCUAUCGGAAGCCCUUUAGUGAUUUGCAACCCAGUAACGAGGGAAUUCACAAUACUUCCUGAACUUACUACGACUUCUGACUGGU
This 18056-nucleotide long non-coding RNA is filed under the name Medicago truncatula (barrel medic). Its description in RNAcentral is "long non-coding RNA (MTRU_LNC002751)". Lineage: Eukaryota; Viridiplantae; Streptophyta; Magnoliopsida; Fabales; Fabaceae. The record is from RNAcentral.